This 397-nucleotide ribosomal RNA is filed under the name uncultured bacterium. Its description in RNAcentral is "bacterial SSU rRNA". It matches the Rfam family "Bacterial small subunit ribosomal RNA", at positions 30 to 429 of the family's 1533-position model. The record is from RNAcentral.
AUUGGACGCUGGCGGCAUGCCUUACACAUGCAAGUCGAACGGCAGCACGGGAGCAAUCCUGGUGGCGAGUGGCGAACGGGUGAGUAAUGUAUCGGAACGUACCUUUCAGUGGGGGAUAACGUAGCGAAAGUUACGCUAAUACCGCAUAUUCUGUGAGCAGGAAAGCAGGGGAUCGCAAGACCUUGCGCUGAUUGAGCGGCCGAUAUCAGAUUAGCUAGUUGGUGAGGUAAAGGCUCACCAAGGCGACGAUCUGUAGCGGGUCUGAGAGGAUGAUCCGCCACACUGGAACUGAGACACGGUCCAGACUCCUACGGGAGGCAGCAGUGGGGAAUUUUGGACAAUGGGCGCAAGCCUGAUCCAGCCAUGCCGCGUGAGUGAAGAAGGCCUCGGUUGUAAG